AUACGUAGGGGGCAAGCGUUAUCCGGAAUUAUUGGGCGUAAAGAGUGCGUAGGUGGUUACCUAAGCAGGGGGUGAAAGGCACUGGCUUAACCAAUGUCAGCCCCCUGAACUGGGCUACUUGAGUGCAGGAGAGGAAAGCGGAAUUCCUAGUGUAGCGGUGAAAUGCGUAGAUAUUAGGAGGAACACCAGUGGCGAAGGCGGCUUUCUGGACUGUUACUGACACUGAGGCACGAAAGUGUGGGGAGC
Molecule: ribosomal RNA, 246 nt
Filed under: uncultured bacterium
Lineage: Bacteria
Description: partial 16S ribosomal RNA
Rfam family: Bacterial small subunit ribosomal RNA
Source: RNAcentral